This 1169-nucleotide ribosomal RNA is filed under the name metagenome. Its description in RNAcentral is "bacterial SSU rRNA". It matches the Rfam family "Bacterial small subunit ribosomal RNA", at positions 327 to 1520 of the family's 1533-position model. The record is from RNAcentral.
CGGCCCAGACUCCUACGGGAGGCAGCAGUUAGGAAUCUUGGGCAAUGGGCGAAAGCCUGACCCAGCAACGCCGCGUGGGUGACGAAGGCCUUCGGGUCGUAAGCCCUUUUGCACGGGAAGAUGAUGACGGUACCGUGCGAAUAAGCCCCGGCUAACUACGUGCCAGCAGCCGCGGUAAUACGUAGGGGGCGAGCGUUGUCCGGAUUUAUUGGGCGUAAAAGGCUUGUAGGUGGCCACGCCAAGUCGGAUGUGAAUUCUCCCGGCUUAACUGGGAGGGGUCAUUCGAUACUGGCGGGCUCGAGGCCGGUAGGGGGUAGCGGAAUUCCCGGUGUAGUGGUGGAAUGCGUAGAUAUCGGGAGGAACACCAGUGGCGAAGGCGGCUACCUGGACCGGUUCUGACACUGAGGAGCGAAAGCGUGGGGAGCGAUCCGGAUUAGAUACCCGGGUAGUCCACGCCGUAAACGGUGGGCACUAGAUGUCGGGGGUAUCGACCCCUCCGGUGUCGCAGCUAACGCAUUAAGUGCCCUGCCUGGGGAGUACGGCCGCAAGGCUAAAACUCAAAGGAAUUGACGGGGGCCCGCACAAGCAGCGGAGCGUGUGGUUUAAUUCGAUGCAACGCGAAGAACCUCACCUAGGCUUGACAUGGCUGAAGUAGAACCCCGAAAGGGGAACCACCCGUAAAGUCGGGAACAGUCACAGGUGCUGCAUGGCUGUCGUCAGCUCGUGCCGUGAGGUGUUGGGUUAAGUCCCGCAACGAGCGCAACCCUCGGCGUUAGUUACCAUGUCUAACGCGACUGCCGGUUUCAAACCGGAGGAAGGUGGGGAUGACGUCAAGUCAGCACGGCCCUUACGCCUAGGGCUACACACACGCUACAAUGGCCGGUACAAUGGGACGCCAAGGGGUGACCCGGAGCAAAUCCUAUCAAAGCCGGUCUCAGUUGGGAUUGCAGGCUGCAACUCGCCUGCAUGAACGCGGAGUUGCUAGUAACCGCAGGUCAGCACACUGCGGUGAAUACGUUCCCGGGCCUUGUACACACCGCCCGUCACGUCAUGAAAGUUGGAAACGCCUGAAGUCGGUGGGCCAACCCGCAAGGGAGGCAGCCGCCGAGGGUGGAGCCAGCGAUUGGGACGAAGUCGUAACAAGGUAGCCGUACGGGAACGUGCGGCUG